GAGAGCUUGCUUUCCUUGAGAGUGGCGCACGGGUGCGUAACACGUAUGUAACCUACCUUAAUCAGGGGAUAGCCUCUCGAAAGAGAGAUUAAGACCGCAUAACAUCAUGGAGUAGCAUUACUUUAUGAUCAAAUAUUUAUAGGAUUAAGAUGGGCAUGCGGAACAUUAGCUAGUUGGUAAGGUAACGGCUUACCAAGGCUACGAUGUUUAGGGGAUCUGAGAGGAUGACCCCCCACACUGGUACUGAGACACGGACCAGACUCCUACGGGAGGCAGCAGUAAGGAAUAUUGGUCAAUGGGCGGAAGCCUGAACCAGCCAUGCCGCGUGCAGGAAGACUGCCCUACGGGUUGUAAACUGCUUUUGUACCGAAAUAAACCUUUGGUCGUGACCAGAGCUGAAUGUACGGUAAGAAUAAGGAUCGGCUAACUCCGUGCCAGCAGCCGCGGUAAUACGGAGGAUCCAAGCGUUAUCCGGAUUUAUUGGGUUUAAAGGGUGCGUAGGUGGCUUAUUAAGUCAGGGGUGAAAGACGGUAGCUUAACUAUCGCAGUGCCUUUGAUACUGAUGAGCUUGAAUGAACUAGAGGUAGGCGGAAUGUGACAAGUAGCGGUGAAAUGCAUAGAUAUGUCACAGAACACCAAUUGCGAAGGCAGCUUACUAUGGUUUGAUUGACACUGAGGCACGAAAGCGUGGAGAUCAAACAGGAUUAGAUACCCUGGUAGUCCACGCCCUAAACGAUGAAUACUCGAUGUUGGCGAUAUACGGUCAGCGUCUAAGCGAAAGCGUUAAGUAUUCCACCUGGGGAGUACGCCCGCAAGGGUGAAACUCAAAGGAAUUGACGGGGGCCCGCACAAGCGGAGGAGCAUGUGGUUUAAUUCGAUGAUACGCGAGGAACCUUACCCGGGCUUGAAAGUUAGUGAAUUGAGCAGAGACGCUCAAGUCCUUCGGGACACGAAACUAGGUGCUGCAUGGCUGUCGUCAGCUCGUGCCGUGAGGUGUUGGGUUAAGUCCCGCAACGAGCGCAACCCCUAUGUUUAGUUGCCAGCACGUUAAGGUGGGGACUCUAAACAGACUGCCUAUGCAAAUAGAGAGGAAGGAGGGGACGACGUCAAGUCAUCAUGGCCCUUACGUCCGGGGCUACACACGUGCUACAAUGGAUGGUACAGAGGGCAGCUACCUGGCAACAGGAUGCCAAUCUCAUAAAGCCAUUCACAGUUCGGAUCGGGGUCUGCAACUCGACCCCGUGAAGUUGGAUUCGCUAGUAAUCGCGU
This 1269-nucleotide ribosomal RNA is filed under the name uncultured Bacteroidota bacterium. RNAcentral's name for it is "bacterial SSU rRNA". It matches the Rfam family "Bacterial small subunit ribosomal RNA", at positions 74 to 1347 of the family's 1533-position model. Lineage: Bacteria; Pseudomonadati; Bacteroidota. The record is from RNAcentral.